AAACGACCUCGGCAACGGAAUCUCGGCCUCGCAUCGAUGAAGAACGUAGCGAAAUGCGAUACUUGGUGUGAAUUGCAGAAUCCCGUGAACCAUCGAGUCUUUGAACGCAAGUUGCCCGAAGCCACUAGGUCGAGGGCACGUCUGCCUGGGCGUCACG
Molecule: ribosomal RNA, 157 nt
Filed under: Polyscias sandwicensis
Lineage: Eukaryota; Viridiplantae; Streptophyta; Magnoliopsida; Apiales; Araliaceae
Description: 5.8S ribosomal RNA
Rfam family: 5.8S ribosomal RNA
About the family: 5.8S ribosomal RNA (5.8S rRNA) is a component of the large subunit of the eukaryotic ribosome.
Source: RNAcentral